GAUGAACGCUGGCGGCGUGCCUAAUACAUGCAAGUCGAGCGAACAGACGAGGAGCUUGCUCCUCUGACGUUAGCGGCGGACGGGUGAGUAACACGUGGAUAACCUACCUAUAAGACUGGGAUAACUUCGGGAAACCGGAGCUAAUACCGGAUAAUAUAUUUAACCGCAUGGUUCAAUAGUGAAAGACGGUUUUGCUGUCACUUAUAGAUGGAUCCGCGCCGCAUUAGCUAGUUGGUAAGGUAAUGGCUUACCAAGGCGACGAUGCGUAGCCGACCUGAGAGGGUGAUCGGCCACACUGGAACUGAGACACGGUCCAGACUCCUACGGGAGGCAGCAGUAGGGAAUCUUCCGCAAUGGGCGAAAGCCUGACGGAGCAACGCCGCGUGAGUGAUGAAGGUCUUCGGAUCGUAAAACUCUGUUAUUAGGGAAGAACAAAUGUGUAAGUAACUAUGCACGUCUUGACGGUACCUAAUCAGAAAGCCACGGCUAACUACGUG
RNAcentral lists this ribosomal RNA (497 nucleotides) under uncultured bacterium. Its description in RNAcentral is "partial 16S ribosomal RNA". It matches the Rfam family "Bacterial small subunit ribosomal RNA", at positions 28 to 507 of the family's 1533-position model. The record is from RNAcentral.